GAGUUUGAUCCUGGCUCAGAACGAACGCUGGCGGCGUGGAUAAGACAUGCAAGUCGAACGAGACUUUCCGUUGUAGCAAUACGAUGGAAAGUUUAGUGGCGAACGGGUGCUUAACACGUGGGCAACCUGCCAUGAAGUGGGGGAUAGCUCGCCGAAAGGCGAAUUAAUACCGCAUGUGAUUAGAAAGGACAUCCUUUCAAAAUUAAAGUCGGGGCAACCUGACGCUUCUUGUGGGGCCCGCGGCCUAUCAGCUAGUUGGUGAGGUAACGGCUCACCAAGGCUUUGACGGGUAGCUGGUCUGAGAGGACGACCAGCCACACUGGGACUGAGACACGGCCCAGACACCUACGGGUGGUAGCAGUCGAGAAUUUUUGACAAUGGGGGAAACCCUGAUCGAGCGACGCCGCGUGGAGGAUGAAGGUCUUCGGAUUGUAAACUCCUGUCAUUUGGGAACAAGGUGCACACGUUAACUGCGUGUGUAUGAUAGUACCAGAAGAGGAAGAGACGGCUAACUCUGUGCCAGCAGCCGCGGUAAUACAGAGGUCUCAAGCGUUGUUCGGAUUCAUUGGGCGUAAAGGGUGCGUAGGCGGCGCGGUAAGUCGGGUGUGAAAUCUCGGAGCUUAACUCCGAAACUGCAUUCGAUACUGCCGUGCUUGAGGACUGGAGAGGAGACUGGAGUUUACGGUGUAGCGGUGAAAUGCGUAGAUAUCGUAAGGAAGACCAGUGGCGAAGGCGGGUCUCUGGACAGUUCCUGACGCUGAGGCACGAAGGUCAGGGGAGCAAACGGGAUUAGAUACCCCGGUAGUCCUGACAGUAAACGGUGCACGUUUGGUGUGGGAGGAUUCGACCCCUUCUGCGCCGGAGCUAACGCGUUAAACGUGCCGCCUGGGGAGUACGGUCGCAAGAUUAAAACUCAAAGGAAUUGACGGGGGCCCGCACAAGCGGUGGAGCAUGUGGUUUAAUUCGACGCAACGCGAAGAACCUUACCCAGGCUCGAACGGCAUCUGACAUCCUACGAAAGUAGGCUCCCGCAAGGGCAGAUGUCGAGGUGCUGCAUGGCUGUCGUCAGCUCGUGUCGUGAGAUGUUGGGUUAAGUCCCGCAACGAGCGCAACCCUUGUCUUCUGUUGCCAUCAGGUCAAGCUGGGCACUCUGAAGAGACUGCCGGUGACAAACCGGAGGAAGGUGGGGAUGACGUCAAGUCAGCAUGGCCUUUAUGUCUGGGGCCACACACGUGCUACAAUGGCAGGUACAAACCGUCGCGAGACCGCAAGGUGGAGCUAAUCGGAGAAAGCCUGUCUCAGUUCGGAUUGUAGGCUGCAACUCGCCUGCAUGAAGUUGGAAUCGCUAGUAAUCGCGGAUCAGCACGCCGCGGUGAAUACGUUCCCGGGCCUUGCACACAC
This 1401-nucleotide ribosomal RNA is filed under the name uncultured bacterium. RNAcentral's name for it is "partial 16S ribosomal RNA". It matches the Rfam family "Bacterial small subunit ribosomal RNA". The record is from RNAcentral.